CCCACAAAUCAAACCAUUUGCAAACCCUUUUCUUCUUGUCGUACAUUCGCCACGGAAAAUGCGGAAAAACAGUUCCAAGUAUGUUGGAGUGCUUCUUAUUCUGAUGCUUGCCUUUGUAUUGGCCCAAGUGCAAUGCCGCAGGCUGCUAGAUAACGGUGACGAAGGAGAGUAUGAUGGUAAUGAUGGCCGUGGUGGUUCUGGUGGAGGAUUUGGCAAUGGUGCUGGUGCUGGUGGAGGAAUAGGUGCCGGUGGUGGAGCUGGUGCUGGUGCCGGGGCUGGUGGAGGGUUUGGAGGAGGUAAAGGUGGAGGUAUAGGCAGUGGUGGUGGCGCUGGAGGGUUCGGAGGAGGUAAAGGUGGAGGAAUAGGCGGUGGUGGAGGAGUAGGCGGCGGCGGUGGUGCUGGAGGUGGGUUUGGAGGAGGAAAUGGUGGAGGUAUCGGCGGCGGAAAGGGUGGUGGCGUUGGAGGAGGCAAUGGUGGAGGCUUUGGAGGAGGCAAAGGUGGAGGAGUCGGAGGCGGGGCUGGUGGUGGCUUUGGAGGUGGAUCCGGAGGUGGCGUUGGAGGUGGUAAAGGUGGCGGAGUAGGAGGCGGUUCCGGUGGUGGCGGAGGCGCUGGUGGUGGCUUUGGAGGAGGCAAAGGUGGCGGAGUAGGAGGCGGUGCCGGGGGNNNNNNNNNNNNNNNNNNNNNNNNNNNNNNNNNNNNNNNNNNNNNNNNNNNNNNNNNNNNNNNNNNNNNNNNNNNNNNNNNNNNNNNNNNNNNNNNNNNNNNNNNNNNNNNNNNNNNNNNNNNNNNNNNNNNNNNNNNNNNNNNNNNNNNNNNNNNNNNNNNNNNGCGAUGUGGUAAAGGUGGUGGAGUGGGAGUAGGUGCUGGGUUUGGAGGAGGCGUCGGUGGUGGCGGAGGCUCCGGCGGGAAUGGAGGAAUUUGAGAUGGUCAUUAAGUGCAAUACAUGAAUGGAUUCUACAUGAAUGGAUUCUAUAUGUCAUCAGAUAAUGUGUAAUAUGAAGCUUAUCAAUCAAUAAAAUGAAGUAACGAGUUUAUCUUAAUUAAUCAAUUACUUUCCCAUCUCACCAAUUUGCGAAGUUUCAUUAUAUAUAAUUUGUACAGAUAAAAAAGUGAAAACAAUCUAGAUACCAUUGCGACGGCGAGGCCUGCGUCGGUUGCGUGGCCCCUUGAAAAGUCCAAAAAAAUUUCACCAAAGUCCGGCCUUUCCUCAAGAUAGUAUUUGGAUCUCUUUAAUUCCAACAAAGUCCAAUAUUUUGUUUUACAGGUGUUUCAAAAGAAAAUUGUCACGAUUGACAAUCUAUAAAGAAGAAGAUUUCAUCUAACAAAUAGGUGUGCUCUGUGUGGCAACAACAAAAAGACCAUAAAUCACCUAUUUCUUCAGUGUCAGUUUACUAGUAGAAUCUAAAACCUCGUGAGUUCAGCACUUUCCUUGUACGGACCCUUGUCGCUAGAUGUGAUCGGGCUCAUCUCGUCCUGAAAAGGUAUAAAUUAUAAGCAGAGAUUUCGGAAGGCUAUUUCUCCUCUUCUCCAUUCCAUCCCGUGGCACGUGUGGAAGAAACACAAUGACAGAAUAUUUAAGAAUCAACACACGUACCCUCGUAUGAUUUUCCGUAAGACAAUGCUUGCGGUUGGGAAUUGGCUUUCAGGUUUUGGACAAUUCUCUAAGGUUUGCAAUGCCUCAUGACGUCGUCUGAUUUUUUAUGUUGAUUAGAUCAUUUGUGUUUUAUCCCAUUUUGCUUGGCGGCGUUUGCAAAUCAGAUGAUAGCGGAGGGUGUAUUUUCUGGGUUGGUUUGGCAGGUGAUGGGUUCGGGUAUCCGGUCCACGUUUUUUUGCUACAGUCUGCACCUGCCUUUUCCUUCUGGUUUGCCUGAAAUUGAUUCUCGUAUUUUUGGUUGCUUCCCUUCGUUCGUCACGAUUUUUCGUGGCUUUGCUGGACUUUAUGGGUAAUUAUGAGAACGUUUUUUUGGAGCUUGCUGCUGUCAUUAUUAAUAGGUUUGGUGGUUUUGUGGGAUGUGUUUACGUUGCUGACAUAUAGUAACCUUGUAUAUAGUAACCUUGUAUAUAAUUACCUUUUUUAUAUAUUAUUAAUUUAAUUAAAAAAAAGUGAAAACAAUAUUCAUUUAUAGUGUAUGUUGAAUUCUAACUAAACGCAAUUUAAAUUUUAAUAUAUAUCCUAUAUAAAUUAAGUAAUCAACUAAUGCAAAUAUAUGUUUUCGAGAAAAAAAACCAAUGCAAAUAUAUACUUUUGGAAAUUAGUAAAUAGAGUUUAGAGGUGCAAUCAUUUUAGUUUAGACAUUGAUAUACAUUUUAAAAUAAUAUAAAGUUUAUAAGAAUAUCAAAACUGCUAACAUCAGCUUUUGCGUAAAACAACACCGUUUUAUGAGCCUGCUCUAUCUUCCUGUGUUUAUCCUUCAAUCCACCAACGACAACGGCCACAAACUCCUUCCGCUCAAUCUCACGCCGACUGUCAGAUUGGUACAGAACUCCCUAUUCGAUUCAACUUCCACUUUACUGCCCAUUGAUUCUAGCGGAGUAAUUAAGAACUUGCAAUUUCGAAUCAGUUGUUGUAGGAAAAGGUAUCUUUCCCCAUCUUCCAUUGAUGGGGCUGCUCCAUCCAACUUGCCUGUCGAUCAGGGCAGAAUCUAAGACGGCGACCGGCUAGGGUUAACUGCUUCACUCCAGCGGAUCUCGAAUAUGGAAUUGUCAUCUGACCCGAACCCGACUCUCCUACGGAGAGAUGAAAUUGGAAUCGGACGAGACAAAUUGGUAGUGGGAAGUUGGAGUUGGGAAAGUCAUGACCAACAACGAACAAAGGAAGAGCAAUAUGUUUCACGAUUUGAAUUGGCAUAAAGGUUUCGACAAUACGUCCAGGUCCAGAUGAUUGAUUAUGCAUUUUUCCUUCGAAACACUGCAAUGGCAAGUCGGCAACGGCUGUCCUCUUUAGUUUAUUAUCUUUCAGAAGUUAAGGGACUGGGUUUGUGUUCAAUUAAAGUUCUCUUCGAGGUUGACCUGUAUUCGUUCCACCCUUCUUUUGGCACCCACAACGGCAGCCGCGGGAUUGGUUCUAUUAUCGGUGGAUUAGCCAAAGGAACCAACUUCGGUUAGUUGAUUUUUCUUUUUGUUGCUGUCAAUUGUUCUUGAGCGAGUGUUUGAAGUUUUUUGGAUUCGUUGAACUUGGCAAUUCACAUUAAGUUGGUGUGAAUUGUCCCCCCUGUGAAUGGAUACCAAGGAUUUGGGUUUCAGUAAACAGGAUGACUUUUGGUCAUUGUUGGUGUAGGGGCUGUAGAAUUCGAUAACUCUGAUGGUACUGGGUGCUUGAUUGAGUUGUGUAAACUUACAAACUCUCACUUUCGAAAUUGUGGAGAGAUGACUAAUAAGUCAUCAUGAUAGAUCGUUAAAGUGGUCAGCCUAGAGGUUUUUAAUUGUUCAUGUUAGUCAAAAUACCGAGUCUUAACUCUCAAAAUGAGACCUUUUUCAUGGCCUCCUGUUAGCAAGCGUAUGAAUGUUAAUUUUCGUAGCAUUCAAUAUUUCAUGUUUGUUUGCCUCUUACACAAGAGGAGCCCUUAGAAAAGGAAGCCUACCCGGAACUGGCAGACCAGCAACAAAAAACAGACAGCGCUGCCCAGAAACACCCAAGAAACGCAGCAGGGUCACUACGAACCAGAGGUGCUCCAAAACAUCCAAAAUAACCUGAUUCCACAUACCCAGCUUCUCACGUGAAAACAACCAUGCAGCGCCUAACCAAACUCCUGCAUUGAGCAGUGCUUUUCUAACCACCGCACCAGAGGAAUAAAUCUUGUCGUUAAAUGUCCGAUCAUUUCUUUCCAGCCACAGAUUCCAGAGGAUUGUAUUAUUAUGUACCUAGCUUUGUAUUCAAAUUGAUAUAGCGCUGGCCAUGAGAACAAGUGUCGAGAAAGGUAGAGAUAUUGCCACCCUUCUUGAUAAGGUCAGUCUAUAUCAGUUCAUUACUUGCUUAAUUUUGUAGUUCUGGUGCGGGGAAAGAUGAUACUUCGUGUUAAUUGGUGGUCAGGUACUAAUUAAGCGGCACCUAGCUAAGUGUAUUCCUAUCUGAGCCAGCUCUUCUAUUAACCACCGACCCAACUCAAGUGGGUUCUUCCAUCUGGCAUCGCCAAAGUAGUUAUAUAUGACUGACUGACUGACACACGUAGCUUUACAUAUGGUUUAACAACAAGCCAAGCAUAUAAGGCUAUGAUAUGGCUUUCUGUAACAUAUUGUAAGCUUCCUGCUAAUAGAUUUUUUAAAGCAUUCUCUACUGGGAUCCAUGACGUGUUAUGUUGUUUGUAGGAGUCUGGGUACGAUGGGGGUUAGUAGCAAGGCUAAAGUUAAUGGUUUUGAGUGCACGAUAAUACUACUAACAACAGAGUUAUGGGGUGGUGAAUAGGGAAUGAAGUUACUGGUAACUUCAAGACCAUUUCAGUAUGGUUCUAACUGGGAUAGUUUAGAAUUAUGUAGAAGAUACACGAGGUUGCGAGGUGUUGAGAAGAUCAUGUCAAAUUGGGCCAGACAGCUUAACUACCAUGAAUGUUUCUGUACAAACCCAGUAUGUGUUUUAUCGCAGCAAAGGCUGGGCCCAGCCCAUUAAAAAUCAUUGAUUAAACUGAGAUUAACCAAUAAGUUUCAGCCCAACGAGCCAGCUUAAUUAGUAUUUCGGAGGUCAAAACUAUAAACCAAUUGGUCGUACAAUCAAUCAUAUUUUUUCACAACUCAAUUUCAUAAAGUCAAUAUGUGUCAACAACGAGUCAACCAUUAGCCAACUAACUCCAUAAAUCUAUCUGUUCAUCAUACUGUGGUGAGAGGUUUCCCUGGCAGACAGUAAAAUAUUAAUGACGCCUUAUUUCAUCUGUCUACUCUCCGUAACCGUUUCAAAGAACACUCUAUACCCACAUUAAUUACCUUCUGACUGACGAAUUACAGUCGAUGGUCCAUAAAGUUUUUAAAUAUUAUCAACCGUAAAAAAUUACUAAACAGUUGAUAUUAAGUUUAUUUUUCAAAAAUGACACAAAUUUCAUAAAACUACGGUAAAAAAACAGUAAAUCUGCUAAUAUAAAUUUUACAGGGAUACCGUUGGAUGGAGUUGAUGGCUUUAAUAAUCAUCAUACAUGUAAUCGGCAAGAUAAAUGAGAAAGGGAAUCAUAAAUCCAGUGUUUAAAAAAGAGUGAACAAGAUCAACAAUAUUCAACCACCCCCCAACCGUAUGAAUUUAUUAUGUUUCCUACUACUACUACUACGUCGUACUGAGUAAACUUCAUGGCUAGCUGGGCCCUGAUCUAUAAAUUGCGGGCAUUUGCCACUACUGAUCUGCACGCUCUCUCAAAACACAAAAAGAAUCAUAUAAUACACUUGCUACAUAUUGUUCUCUCUGCUGCUUGUUUAUUCCGAUGGAGAAGUUAAAAAAAGUGACGAGUUUGAAGAAUAGUAGUGGAGUGUUACUGUUAGCUGUUGUGGUAUGUAGUUUGUUAGUGAUGGCGGAGGUAGCACAGUGCCGCGAGCUCUCUAAUAACAAGACGAUCGUUGGAACUCAGCUGGACAUCCCUGGAGGAGGAAACCCGUUUCUGGGUUUUAUAUGUCAGCUUUGUCAAGCGUCCGGUGGACCCGCUGCACCAGGUGGACCGGUGGGACCAGGUGGACCAGGGGGACCAGGUGGCGGCGGCGGUGGUCAAGGAGGAGGUUCUGGUGGGGGUAGUGGUGUUGGAAGUGGACCGGGAGGGAGUGGUGGAGGUGGUGGUUAUGGUGGCGGCAGUGGUGGGGGUGGACCUGGAGGCGGAAGUGGCGUAGGAGGAGGUUCUGGUAGUGGUAGCGGUAGUGGAAGUGGAUCGGGAGGUGGGGGUGGAGGUGGCGGCAGAGGUGGAGGAAGUGGGGGAGGAGGUGGACCUGGUGGCGGUAGUGGUGCAGGAGGAGGUUCUGGUAGUGGUAGUGGAAGUGGAUCAGGAGGCGGCGGUGGAGGUGGCGGAAGUGGGGGCGGUGGUGGAUCUGGUGGCGGUAGUGGUGCUGGAGGAGGUUCUGGUGGAGGAAGUGGUGGAGGAAGUAGUGGAGGAGGUGGCGGAGGUAGUGGAGGAGGUGGUGGGGGCGGUGGUGGAAGUGGAGGAGGUGGUGGGGGUGGCGGUGGAUCGGGAGNNN
RNAcentral lists this long non-coding RNA (6138 nucleotides) under Linum usitatissimum (flax). Its description in RNAcentral is "long non-coding RNA (LUSI_LNC003293)". Lineage: Eukaryota; Viridiplantae; Streptophyta; Magnoliopsida; Malpighiales; Linaceae. The record is from RNAcentral.